This 570-nucleotide small RNA is filed under the name Pan troglodytes (chimpanzee). Its description in RNAcentral is "processed transcript". Lineage: Eukaryota; Metazoa; Chordata; Mammalia; Primates; Hominidae. The record is from RNAcentral.
GCACGGGGAACAGCGUGUGUGAGGGUCCCGCCAUGUCUCAGCCCUUUCCUGGCCCCUGCACUUAGCCUUCGGUGCCCAUCUUCAGGGUCAGGGGAAGCCCAGGCCAAAGCGGGCCGGGAAGGGGCCCUGUGGAUAAGGCCGAGAGCCUGUCCCAAAAUAGGGCCGGCAGGAUUUCCCACCCAUAAAAGGCUCUUGGAAUCUGGACCCCGGGGACCCCAGGCAGCCAGGCCCAGCUAAAACUCAGCUGCCACCACUGCCCCAGCACUCUGCCCACAGCAGCCCUGGUGCCACCACCCUGCAGAAUCCUGUCAGACAACCACCGACAUGACAAAGGGUUCUUCAACUGCGAUGGUUUCCUGGCACUAAUGGGAGUUUACCAUGAGAAGGCCCAGAACCAGGAGAGCGAGCUGAGGGCGGCAUUCCGUGUCUUCGACAAAGAGGGCAAGGGCUACAUUGACUGGAACACACUCAAGUACGUGCUAAUGAAUGCAGGGGAGCCCCUCAACGAGGUGGAGGCGGAGCAGAUGAUGAAGGAGGCCGACAAGGAUGGGGACGGGACCAUCGACUAUG